CUUCGUUCUCCCGUUUACUUGGAGGAUUGGACUCAAAUUUCAAAGUUGAAAAGAUAUCCUGGUGGCUAGUCCCCGAAGAGAUUGAUGCUCUUGUUGGGUCGAAUGUAGACCCGCGCUCGGAUUCCCGAUUGGUACGAUCGACGAAUUUUUUCUUCUCUCGCUUCAUGUCAUCAAUCCAUUUAUCUAGACAACUUUGGAUGUACUUCGGCUUCUUCGACCGAUCAAUUUUGGGUUGUGUGAUUGUCCGUUGUGUAGGUCUAAUUUGUUCGCGCCAUGGUUCAACAGGUGAAUGAUCGAGUUCAGACUCUGGGUGGGGUUCAUCCCAGAAGUUAAAACACUUUUCUGAUGUAAAGUCUUCAAAGAAUUUGGGAUCCAAUCGCAAAGCAGGCCCACACAGAGGAGGGUUAGAAGCGAUGUGUUCAUCACUCGGUGGACGAUCACCGAGUAGAUCCAAUCCAAGAAUACGGUCAGGAGGAGAGCAAAACAAGUCUCCGUGCUCGCUGUUUGCGAGGCCAUCAGAGAUGUCUAGGUCAAAGUCACCAUAUUCGUCAAAAGCUGGUGAGAGAGAAGGGAAAAUGUCCUGAUGUGUUUCUUCCGAAUGCAUGGUACUUCCUGGCCAUUGUUCUUCCGUUAGUCUUCCAUUGUCGUAAUGUAAUUUGAACAGCUUCAAGCUUUCCUUAGGCACCCCAAAGUCUUGAAGAGAUCUUGCCAUAUCAUCGUGCGACCAGAGCACAAACUUUGAAAGAGGAACACCGAGGCAGAGGAUGGCGUGUGCGGUCAAUGGAUUAAUCGAGGGAAAUUGAUCAAGAAACAGUUCGCCAUCGGUCAUGCAUUCUGGCAUCGGGAAUGAAUAUGGUUUCUUAGCCUCCUGCCGAACUCUUUCAAUGCACGUCAAGACGAGAUCUUCAGUACACUGCGGAUUGCCCGACACGAAGCAGUGCACUUGCAUACCAAACCCCGCAGCAGCUUCGGCCAACUUUGGUGUGCUUCUGAGGACAGACGAGGUGAAUGCUGGUUCUCCUUCAAAAAUCUGCAACAUGUGACUUGUUUAACAUGAAUGGAAGACCGAGAAAAAAUUGCGUACCACAUCUACACUAAAGUUAUUUUCUGAUUCAUGCAGCUGAUGCGUUCGGAAUCACGUGAAACAUUUAUUUAAUCUGUAGUCAUAAUGGUUUUUCCUUUUUUGGCACAAGCCACGAACUUGUGAGUAGUGAUGAUUAGUUGUUGUGCUGGAACUUGUUGAACAGUUAAGAAUAAUGUUGAGCACUGUUAACAUCUCCAGUGCAUUAAAUGAAGCGGCAGAACAGCUCACCACGAAGCAAUUUUCGAAAGAGUAGCUCAUGGCCUUCAUGUGACAGUUGAUAAUGAUGGCAUCAAUAAAGGCAGAAAUUUCCUUGAAAGCGUGACCGGAAUUUUUCCUCCAAUUAAUC
Molecule: long non-coding RNA, 1430 nt
Filed under: Physcomitrium patens
Lineage: Eukaryota; Viridiplantae; Streptophyta; Bryopsida; Funariales; Funariaceae
Description: long non-coding RNA (PPAT_LNC008221)
Source: RNAcentral